CCCUUAGAUGUCCGGGGCCGCACGCGCGCUACAAUGGAUGAAUCAACGCGUCAUCCUGGCCCGAAAGGGUUGGGGAACCGCUGAACCUCAUCCGUGGUUGGGAUUGGGGUUUGUAAUUAUUCCCCAUGAACUAGGAAUUCCCAGUAAGCGCGAGUCAUAAGCUCGCGUUGAUUACGUCCCUGCCCUUUGUGCACACCGCCCGUCGCUACUACCGAUUGGAUGGUUUAGUGAGAUCCUCGGAUUGGUCACGGCACGGUGGCAACACUGCGUCGGUGUGCCGAGAAGACGAUCAAACUUGAUCAUCUAGAGGAAGUAAAAGUCGUAACA
Molecule: ribosomal RNA, 327 nt
Filed under: uncultured eukaryote
Lineage: Eukaryota
Description: partial 18S ribosomal RNA
Rfam family: Eukaryotic small subunit ribosomal RNA
Source: RNAcentral